GUUUUAUUAUCCCUGCUUUAACAGAGGGAGGACUUGAAUCUCGAGUUAAAGUAAUUUGCUCAGGAUUGUAAGGUCUUUUGUGAAGACUUUGAAGUUGCAGGUUCAUUCUGCCGCCAUAUACGUAACAUUCUAAGGUCUGCUUUUUAUAAGACAUAAUAGCUGACACUAUGAGCAAAAGAGACAGAGCUGUUGCCAUUAUGUGGCUUACAGUUUAAUGAAGAAGAUGGACAACAAUCUCACAAGUAAAUCUAUACCUACAAAGUAUGAGAAGUCCUGAAAAAGGAAGGUACAGGUAACUGGGAAGGAAUACAUGAUUAACUCUAUGGUGUCAGGGGGGCUUCAUUCCCUCCAAUUAAUGUUUUCUUCCAGAAUUUCCUUUACUAGAUAUAUUCUACAAA
This 398-nucleotide long non-coding RNA is filed under the name Homo sapiens (human). RNAcentral describes it as "HSALNT0308174". The record is from RNAcentral. Lineage: Eukaryota; Metazoa; Chordata; Mammalia; Primates; Hominidae.